Molecule: long non-coding RNA, 280 nt
Filed under: Vigna radiata
Lineage: Eukaryota; Viridiplantae; Streptophyta; Magnoliopsida; Fabales; Fabaceae
Description: long non-coding RNA (VRAD_LNC002256)
Source: RNAcentral
GAGGAAUCCGUUAACUAGUACACAAUUAUUUAAAAGUAAUUUGAAUAAACAUUUAUAUUUAAUAGUUAUUAGAAAGUUAAAUCACUUUAUACAAGUUAAUGACGAGGAAGCCAAGUCAAUGUACAUUAUAUGUUAAAUAAAAAAGUAAAUAAAAUAUGUUUUGUAUAUGAAUUAAUUUUUAAUUCGAAAUAAGUUUUAAUAAUUUGGUUUAAUGUUGGUUUUGAUUUUUCGUAAAACCUAAACUUGCCAACAACAUUCCUCCAAUGAAUGUCCCAUCCAA